GGGUAUAGCUCAGUGGUAGAGCACAUGAUAGCGUGCACGGGGCCCUGGGUUCAAUCCCCGGUACCUCCA
This 69-nucleotide transfer RNA is filed under the name Camelus bactrianus (Bactrian camel). It matches the Rfam family "tRNA". From Rfam's summary of the family: Transfer RNA (tRNA) molecules are approximately 80 nucleotides in length. Lineage: Eukaryota; Metazoa; Chordata; Mammalia; Artiodactyla; Camelidae. The record is from Rfam by way of RNAcentral. RNAcentral also lists the same sequence under 1 other name.